Molecule: ribosomal RNA, 253 nt
Filed under: uncultured bacterium
Lineage: Bacteria
Description: partial 16S ribosomal RNA
Rfam family: Bacterial small subunit ribosomal RNA
Source: RNAcentral
UACGGAGGGUGCGAGCGUUGUCCGGAAUCACUGGGCGUAAAGGGCGCGUAGGCGGCUCGGUAAGUAGGGGGUGAAAUCCUGCGGCUUAACCGCAGGGCUGCCUUCUAAACUGUCGAGCUCGAGCACGGUAGAGGCAGAUGGAAUUCCCGGUGUAGCGGUGGAAUGCGUAGAGAUCGGGAAGAACAUCAGUGGCGAAGGCGGUCUGCUGGGCCGUUGCUGACGCUGAGGCGCGACAGCGCGGGGAGCAAACAGG